This 1118-nucleotide ribosomal RNA is filed under the name Salmonella enterica. RNAcentral's name for it is "partial 23S ribosomal RNA". It matches the Rfam family "Bacterial large subunit ribosomal RNA", at positions 70 to 1230 of the family's 2925-position model. The record is from RNAcentral. Lineage: Bacteria; Pseudomonadati; Pseudomonadota; Gammaproteobacteria; Enterobacterales; Enterobacteriaceae.
GAUAAGCGCCGGUAAGGUGAUAUGAACCGUUAUAACCGGCGAUACCCGAAUGGGGAAACCCAGUGUGACUCGUCACACUAUCAUUAACUGAAUCCAUAGGUUAAUGAGGCGAACCGGGGGAACUGAAACAUCUAAGUACCCCGAGGAAAAGAAAUCAACCGAGAUUCCCCCAGUAGCGGCGAGCGAACGGGGAGGAGCCCAGAGCCUGAAUCAGCAUGUGUGUUAGUGGAAGCGUCUGGAAAGGCGCGCGAUACAGGGUGACAGCCCCGUACACAAAAGCGCAUGUGCUGUGAGCUCGAUGAGUAGGGCGGGACACGUGGUAUCCUGUCUGAAUAUGGGGGGACCAUCCUCCAAGGCUAAAUACUCCUGACUGACCGAUAGUGAACCAGUACCGUGAGGGAAAGGCGAAAAGAACCCCGGCGAGGGGAGUGAAAAAGAACCUGAAACCGUGUACGUACAAGCAGUGGGAGCACCCUUUGGGUGUGACUGCGUACCUUUUGUAUAAUGGGUCAGCGACUUAUAUUCUGUAGCAAGGUUAACCGAAUAGGGGAGCCGGAGGGAAACCGAGUCUUAACCGGGCGUUAAGUUGCAGGGUAUAGACCCGAAACCCGGUGAUCUAGCCAUGGGCAGGUUGAAGGUUGGGUAACACUAACUGGAGGACCGAACCGACUAAUGUUGAAAAAUUAGCGGAUGACCUGUGGCUGGGGGUGAAAGGCCAAUCAAACCGGGAGAUAGCUGGUUCUCCCCGAAAGCUAUUUAGGUAGCGCCUCGUGAAUUCAUCUCCGGGGGUAGAGCACUGUUUCGGCUAGGGGGCCAUCCCGGCUUACCAACCCGAUGCAAACUGCGAAUACCGGAGAAUGUUAUCACGGGAGACACACGGCGGGUGCUAACGUCCGUCGUGAAGAGGGAAACAACCCAGACCGCCAGCUAAGGUCCCAAAGUCAUGGUUAAGUGGGAAACGAUGUGGGAAGGCCCAGACAGCCAGGAUGUUGGCUUAGAAGCAGCCAUCAUUUAAAGAAAGCGUAAUAGCUCACUGGUCGAGUCGGCCUGCGCGGAAGAUGUAACGGGGCUAAACCAUGCACCGAAGCUGCGGCAGCGACACUGUGUGUUGUUGGGUA